This 449-nucleotide ribosomal RNA is filed under the name uncultured Gammaproteobacteria bacterium. RNAcentral describes it as "bacterial SSU rRNA". The stretch from base 61 to 449 matches the Rfam family "Bacterial small subunit ribosomal RNA", at positions 1 to 393 of the family's 1533-position model. The record is from RNAcentral. Lineage: Bacteria; Pseudomonadati; Pseudomonadota; Gammaproteobacteria.
GCAUCCAACGCGUUGGGAGCUCUCCCAUAUGGUCGACCUGCAGGCGGCCGCGAAUUCACUAGUGAUUAGAGUUUGAUCAUGGCUCAGGGUGAACGUUAAUCGAGUGCCCGCGGCCGGCAAGUCGAGCGGAAGAUGCGACAUCUUACCCAAUUCGCCCUAUGGUGAGUAAUAUUAUUAUUGCCAAUUAGUGGGGGAUAGCCAUGAGAAAUCGUGGGUAAUACCGCAUUUGUUGCGUAUUCGUUUACGUAAUGAAAGGAGGUCUUUAGACCUUCGCUAGUUGAUGAGAAUAAGUCGUAUUAGCUAUUGGGUGUGGGUAAAUCCCACCUAGGCAAUGAUGCGUAGCUGGUUUGAGAGAAUGAACGGCCACAGGGGAACUGAGACACGGUCCCCACUCCUACGGGAGGCAGCAGUGAGGAAUAUUCGGCAACGUGGGCAACUCUGUUGACGCG